AUGUGGACCUAUCUUCGUCAGCGCUAUGAGCCCUCUGGUGAUACCUUAUACCUUUCUGUGGUUCGUCAGGAGCAUGCUCUUCAGCAGGGUGACUCUACUGUUGAUGACUUUUAUGCACAGAGUUCUGCUAUCUGGCGCCAGCUUGAUUCUCUCCGCAGUGCUGGUUGUCGUACUUGCCCCUGUUGCCAGGCUGUCCAGGCUGAUUUGGAGUUUCAUCGCGUCUACGAGUUCCUGUCUCGGCUCCGUAAGGAGUUUGAGCCCCGGCGUGCUCAGUUGUUUGCUCGUGGCCGUAUUUCUCUCAUGGAGGCGCUUUCUGAGAUUCGUGCCGAGGAGACUCGCUUACGUGGUGCUGGUUUGCUGGAGGUUCCUUCUGUGCUCGCUACUCAGGCUUCUUCCAUGCCACCUGCUGCACCGACCCCUUCUCGCUCGAGUGCUCCGCCACUUUUGCCCACUCCUGGAGGCUCGGGUCGCCGUCCACAUUGCGGCUACUGCAACAAUGAUGGUCAUAUUGAGUCCCAGUGCUACACGAAGAGGAAACACCUGCGCAAGGCGCGAUCAUCAUCUUCAGGGACUUCGUCA
RNAcentral lists this ribosomal RNA (579 nucleotides) under Triticum aestivum (bread wheat). Its description in RNAcentral is "partial small subunit ribosomal RNA". Lineage: Eukaryota; Viridiplantae; Streptophyta; Magnoliopsida; Poales; Poaceae. The record is from RNAcentral.